Long non-coding RNA from Mirounga angustirostris (Northern elephant seal), 2065 nucleotides. RefSeq lists it as uncharacterized. NCBI's taxonomy places the organism in Eukaryota, Metazoa, Chordata, Mammalia, Carnivora, Phocidae. The transcript has 7 exons. The record is from RefSeq and is a predicted model, not a curated record.
GAAGGCCUGGAGGAGGGAAUUUCUGUUCAGUUUUGGAAGUGAGCCGCUUGGGUUUCUCAUCCCCUAGCCCGCGCCCCUCAGGAGGAGGGACCCUGCCUGCUCCUAGAACAGCGUUGGGACUGUGCCCGCUGCUCAGUGGCACCGCUGAUCUCUUAGGUCUUUCUACUGCCUCUCCUUCCUCCUGUUGUAAAUUCAAAUUUCCAUGAAAUCCAAAAGGAUACAGUGAACCAACAGCUACUCUGUCUCCUCCAAGAUUUAAGACCCCCUCUGGGCAAAAUUGUGAAACAGAGGAAGGAAAGAAAAGGAAAGAAGGAAGGAAUUGAGAGGAUUGAGAGGACCUGCCAAGUGCCAGGAUUUUCUUGAGCCUGAUAAUGCACAGUUCCACUUGAUGAUGGAGAGCCGCUGUGUACAUCCAACUUUAUGGUUUGAUACCCCUAACUUGGAUCUGUGAUUCAGCUAUUCUUUUCCCUGAGCAAUAAGAGAGAAGAAGGGAGGAAAAAAAGACUGGGAUUGUGGCACUUGAGACUGAUGUGGAGUGCACCUGGAUAUCGAGACUGAUAUGGAGUGCAUAAGAAGAUAUCAAGUGGCCCCAGGUGGAGAAUAAGAGCUGUUGGGAUACGGAGAUCUGCACGUCCUCUUACCUGCCGCACCCAUGGAGAUACAAGGCAAGUGCAUAAAGAUAAAGCUCUGCUGACAGACCUACGUUUUCAAAUUACCACAAGGAACUUUCUCUAAGCAGUCUAUUAUUUAGGAAUGACAAGACACAAAAGGGAGUAAUGAUAUAUGGUUGCCCAAUUUGCAUAUGAUCAGGUGACGCUCCACGCCAGAGAGGACUAGAACAGAAUGAUCUGAAUUUAGGCCAAGCUCUGAUGACUAAAUUUCAUGCUGGAUGUACGUCUCCCAACACGCAUGUUCCAGUGUAAGCUACUUUAACCUUCUGGCCCCUGCUCUAUUUCCCCAUACAAUCUUUUUCCUUAAGGAAAGGGUUAGACCCGUUUGCCUUCCUGAAGCAUUAGUCCGUGCCAGCAACCGGAGUCCAGGGGAAGACACUGCUACCAAAAGACAGAAAUGACCCGUCCUGCCACCCCUCCUUGUGGCCGUGUGGAUGAACAUGUCAGUUACAGAACCUGUCAUCCCCGAGAGCCCGAGGCCAGGAUGGAGAAUACACACGCGUCCCCUGGGACAGGGCAGCACGCUCCCACCCGCUCACACCUCUGGGCCCUGCGCUCCACAAGAGCUGUUACUGAUGAGAAUGCAAAGCCUGCUCACCGAGGGGAGAAGGGGUAAGUAGAGCACAGUGCCCAUAAAAGAGCUGUUUGCUACCUAUUUUUCUUCUCAGCUCCUAGCACAGCCUCUACCUAGUAGGUGCUCGGUUCAUGAUAGAUAUUUCCUGAAUAAAUUGAGUCCUCUGCUCCUGGGAGACCACGUAUCACUGUGAUACAUAACAAGUCAGCUACCCUUAUGUGAAAAGACAGUCCCUAGGCAAAGUUCUUGCUAUUCCUGAUUACUCAAAAUGUGAGCCCUUUCUCGUAGUUUCUCUGGUUUUGUAUACACAGAUUCGGGACGAAGCCCUCUGGUCGUGUUUGUAAAUCUCUAGAGCAGGACAUUAGCAUUCAGAAGCACUUAUGAGAGGAAUAAAGCCCUUAUGAGAAUCCAGGACUCCACAAUAAGAUAUUUCUCAGCUGUCAAACAAAUAAUUUACAACAUGGAUGAUGGAGUCAGGGGCAGGAUUUGGAUUUUAAAUGAAGCAAGUAUGCAGAACUAGAAGAUUAUAGUUUCGAGCAGGAAAAUCAAUGGGAUGUUGGAAAUUUGAGAUCUCCUCACAGGCUUAAUAAUAUAAAACACCAGGAUCAGAUAACAGAUAUUGGGUUCUUGGGAAACCACAAGGUUGGGUAAGUCGACUUUUGCUUGAAAUGUACAUUUCCUAGAGCUUGGGAGGAAGAACAACAGUGGAACUCUGCCAAGGGAGGAGGAGGGAGAGGGAGGGGGAGAGUCCUUUCAUUCAGAUCCAUCAUCUUUGACCCGAAAUCAGUGCCCUUACCUCUCAAAAGACAGUAUUGUAUUU